Molecule: ribosomal RNA, 253 nt
Filed under: uncultured bacterium
Lineage: Bacteria
Description: partial 16S ribosomal RNA
Rfam family: Bacterial small subunit ribosomal RNA
Source: RNAcentral
UACGGGGGGGGCAAGCGUUGUUCGGAAUUACUGGGCGUAAAGGGCUCGUAGGCGGCCAACUAAGUCAGACGUGAAAUCCCUCGGCUCAACCGGGGAACUGCGUGUGAGACUGGAUGGCUUGAGUUUGGGAGAGGAAUGCGGAAUUCCAGGUGUAGCGGUGAAAUGCGUAGAUAUCUGGAGGAACACCGGUGGCGAAGGCGGCAUUCUGGACCAACACUGACGCUGAGGAGCGAAAGCCAGGGGAGCAAACGGG